Molecule: ribosomal RNA, 975 nt
Filed under: Microbacterium testaceum
Lineage: Bacteria; Bacillati; Actinomycetota; Actinomycetes; Micrococcales; Microbacteriaceae
Description: bacterial SSU rRNA
Rfam family: Bacterial small subunit ribosomal RNA
Source: RNAcentral
GAUGAACGCUGGCGGCGUGCUUAACACAUGCAAGUCGAACGGUGAAGCCAAGCUUGCUUGGUGGAUCAGUGGCGAACGGGUGAGUAACACGUGAGCAACCUGCCCUGGACUCUGGGAUAAGCGCUGGAAACGGCGUCUAAUACUGGAUAUGUGACGUGAUCGCAUGGUCGUGUUUGGAAAGAUUUUUCGGUCUGGGAUGGGCUCGCGGCCUAUCAGCUUGUUGGUGAGGUAAUGGCUCACCAAGGCGUCGACGGGUAGCCGGCCUGAGAGGGUGACCGGCCACACUGGGACUGAGACACGGCCCAGACUCCUACGGGAGGCAGCAGUGGGGAAUAUUGCACAAUGGGCGGAAGCCUGAUGCAGCAACGCCGCGUGAGGGAUGACGGCCUUCGGGUUGUAAACCUCUUUUAGCAGGGAAGAAGCGAAAGUGACGGUACCUGCAGAAAAAGCGCCGGCUAACUACGUGCCAGCAGCCGCGGUAAUACGUAGGGCGCAAGCGUUAUCCGGAAUUAUUGGGCGUAAAGAGCUCGUAGGCGGUUUGUCGCGUCUGCUGUGAAAUCCCGAGGCUCAACCUCGGGCCUGCAGUGGGUACGGGCAGACUAGAGUGCGGUAGGGGAGAUUGGAAUUCCUGGUGUAGCGGUGGAAUGCGCAGAUAUCAGGAGGAACACCGAUGGCGAAGGCAGAUCUCUGGGCCGUAACUGACGCUGAGGAGCGAAAGGGUGGGGAGCAAACAGGCUUAGAUACCCUGGUAGUCCACCCCGUAAACGUUGGGAACUAGUUGUGGGGACCAUUCCACGGUUUCCGUGACGCAGCUAACGCAUUAAGUUCCCCGCCUGGGGAGUACGGCCGCAAGGCUAAAACUCAAAGGAAUUGACGGGGACCCGCACAAGCGGCGGAGCAUGCGGAUUAAUUCGAUGCAACGCGAAGAACCUUACCAAGGCUUGACAUAUACGAGAACGGGCCAGAAAUGGUCAA